Molecule: ribosomal RNA, 728 nt
Filed under: Bacillus subtilis
Lineage: Bacteria; Bacillati; Bacillota; Bacilli; Caryophanales; Bacillaceae
Description: bacterial SSU rRNA
Rfam family: Bacterial small subunit ribosomal RNA
Source: RNAcentral
UACCCCCGUCAAUGGGAGCUUGCUCCUGAUGUUAGCGGCGGACGGGUGAGUAACACGUGGGUAACCUGCCUGUAAGACUGGGAUAACUCCGGGAAACCGGGGCUAAUACCGGAUGGUUGUUUGAACCGCAUGGUUCAAACAUAAAAGGUGGCUUCGGCUACCACUUACAGAUGGACCCGCGGCGCAUUAGCUAGUUGGUGAGGUAACGGCUCACCAAGGCAACGAUGCGUAGCCGACCUGAGAGGGUGAUCGGCCACACUGGGACUGAGACACGGCCCAGACUCCUACGGGAGGCAGCAGUAGGGAAUCUUCCGCAAUGGACGAAAGUCUGACGGAGCAACGCCGCGUGAGUGAUGAAGGUUUUCGGAUCGUAAAGCUCUGUUGUUAGGGAAGAACAAGUACCGUUCGAAUAGGGCGGUACCUUGACGGUACCUAACCAGAAAGCCACGGCUAACUACGUGCCAGCAGCCGCGGUAAUACGUAGGUGGCAAGCGUUGUCCGGAAUUAUUGGGCGUAAAGGGCUCGCAGGCGGUUUCUUAAGUCUGAUGUGAAAGCCCCCGGCUCAACCGGGGAGGGUCAUUGGAAACUGGGGAACUUGAGUGCAGAAGACGAGAGUGGAAUUCCACGUGUAGCGGUGUAAUGCGUAAAGAUGUGGAGGAACCACCAGUGGUCAAAGGCGACUCUCUGGUCUGUUACUGACACUGAGGAGCAUAAGCGUGCGGAGCUAA